Molecule: ribosomal RNA, 315 nt
Filed under: Triticum aestivum (bread wheat)
Lineage: Eukaryota; Viridiplantae; Streptophyta; Magnoliopsida; Poales; Poaceae
Description: partial small subunit ribosomal RNA
Source: RNAcentral
AUGGUGUGUUUUCUGAAUUUUGGUUUGAAAGAUGAUUUUGUGAGUUCAAGCUUUUGUGCGAUUCCUGAUGUUGUGUUCCUGCCAAAUGACAUAGGUCCUGCACUGAAUUUUUCUGAUGCUAUAAUCAUGGCAGGAGCUUUGUACUGGGAAAGUAUGUCAGAAUUAUCUAGAAUUGAUGGACUUCAGUUGGUGUUUCUUUGCUGGAUGGAAUUAGAUUUGUGGAUAUAUCAGUUUAUGGGUGGCUACUUCAUUGGUGAAUUCACCUGCUAUAUGAACACUAUUUUUAAUAAAUGGUGUGCAGCUAGAGAUGUAUAA